RNAcentral lists this unclassified non-coding RNA (530 nucleotides) under Hevea brasiliensis (rubber tree). Lineage: Eukaryota; Viridiplantae; Streptophyta; Magnoliopsida; Malpighiales; Euphorbiaceae. The record is from RNAcentral.
AAACUGUGGAAGCUGCACUGAAAAGGAUACGAGCAUUUGUGUGUAAGGGAAAGGAAGAUCAUCAGGAAAUGCCAACCAAGAAUAAACAGCGAUGGCAAAGAAAUCUCCGCCUCAGUUUCUCAGCUCGAAGAUUCGAAGAGGGAGUCAAGUCACCCCAUGUGAUGUCUCCUCACUCCCCAAUUCCUCACUCGCCGUUAGUUCGUGCUAAGUAAAAGGCAUGCAUAUCCUAGCGCCUACACCCAGUUCAGAAUCCAAUAUACAAACAAGUUAUUCAUAUCCCAUCACAUAUAUUAUAUCGAUACAUCGGGACUUAGGGAAGAAAAAUUACUAUAUCCUGCCAAUAUGGUUANNNNNNNNNNNCAAUUAGAUGGUCAUUAUCUAUUUUUCGGUCCCAUUAGUUUGGAAACUUUUAGAUUUUUGUGGGAAUUUUAAUGUUUCAUAUGCGCAACAACUAGCACCUAACAAUCCAUGCAUCAUGUAUUUGAGCUUUAGCUUCCUGACCUAAGAAAUUAAUAUAUGAUUGUCCAUGU